RNAcentral lists this ribosomal RNA (187 nucleotides) under uncultured bacterium. Its description in RNAcentral is "partial 16S ribosomal RNA". It matches the Rfam family "Bacterial small subunit ribosomal RNA", at positions 1314 to 1500 of the family's 1533-position model. The record is from RNAcentral.
GCCUGCGUGAAGUCGGAAUCGCUAGUAAUCGCGGAUCAGCAUGCCGCGGUGAAUACGUUCCCGGGCCUUGUACACACCGCCCGUCACACCAUGAGAGUCGGGAACACCCGAAGUCCGUAGCCUAACCGCAAGGAGGGCGCGGCCGAAGGUGGGUUCGAUAAUUGGGGUGAAGUCGUAACAAGGUAAC